GGAGUCUGGGCCGUAUCUCAGUCCCAAUGUGGCCGUUCAACCUCUCAGUCCGGCUACUGAUCGCAGCCUUGGUGAGCCGUUACCCCACCAACUAGCUAAUCAGAUGUGAGCCCAUCUUUCAGCGAAUUGCUCCUUUGGUAUCCAGGCGAUGCCGCCCGAAUACGUUAUGCGGUAUUAGCAGUCGUUUCCAACUGUUGUCCCCCACUGAAAGGCAGGUUGCUCACACAUUACUCACCCGUCCGCCACUAAGUCAAAUCCAAACUUCGACGAAUCUCCGUUUGAAAGUGCUUCGUUCGACUUGCAUGUGUUAGGCACGCCGCCAGCGUUCAUC
This 331-nucleotide ribosomal RNA is filed under the name uncultured Oscillospiraceae bacterium. RNAcentral describes it as "partial 16S ribosomal RNA". Lineage: Bacteria; Bacillati; Bacillota; Clostridia; Eubacteriales; Oscillospiraceae. The record is from RNAcentral.